Molecule: unclassified non-coding RNA, 296 nt
Filed under: fungal sp.
Lineage: Eukaryota; Fungi
Description: partial contains 5.8S ribosomal RNA, internal transcribed spacer 2, and large subunit ribosomal RNA
Rfam family: 5.8S ribosomal RNA (bases 1-71)
Source: RNAcentral
GUGAGUCAUCGAAUCUUUGAACGCACAUUGCGCCCGCCAGUAUUCUGGCGGGCAUGCCUGUUCGAGCGUCAUUUCAACCCUCAAGCUCCGGCUUGGUGUUGGGGAUCGGCAGCCCGGCUUCGCGCCGACGCCGUCCCCCAAAUGCAGUGGCGGUCACGCUGUAGCUUCCUAUGCGUAGUAGCACACCUCGCACUGGAAAGCAGCGCGGCCACGCCGUAAAACCCCCAACUUUUUGUGGUUGACCUCGAAUCAGGUAGGACUACCCGCUGAACUUAAGCAUAUCAAUAAGCGGAGGA